CGAGUUAUACAACUCAUCAACCCUGUGAACAUACCUAAAACGUUGCCUCGGCGGGAACAGACGGCCCCGUAACACGGGCCGCCCCCGCCAGAGGACCCCCUAACUCUGUUUCUAUAAUGUUUUUUCUGAGUAAACAAGCAAAUAAAUCAAAACUUUCAACAACGGAUCUCUUGGCUCUGGCAUCGAUGAAGAACGCAGCGAAAUGCGAUAAGUAAUGUGAAUUGCAGAAUUCAGUGAAUCAUCGAAUCUUUGAACGCACAUUGCGCCCGCCAGUAUUCUGGCGGGCAUGCCUGUUCGAGCGUCAUUACAACCCUCAGGCCCCCGGGUCUGGCGUUGGGGAUCGGCGGAAGCCCCCUGUGGGCACAACGCCGUCCCCCAAAUACAGUGGCGGUCCCGCCGCAGCUUCCAUUGCGUAGUAGCUAACACCUCGCAACUGGAGAGCGGCGCGGCCACGCCGUAAAACACCCAACUUCUGAAUGUUGACCUCGAAUCAGGUAGGAAUACCCGCUGAACUUAAGCAUAUCAAUAAGC
Molecule: ribosomal RNA, 531 nt
Filed under: Fusarium solani
Lineage: Eukaryota; Fungi; Ascomycota; Sordariomycetes; Hypocreales; Nectriaceae
Description: eukaryotic LSU rRNA
Rfam family: 5.8S ribosomal RNA (bases 151-304)
Source: RNAcentral